GGGGGGGCGCCGGCGGUGGAGCUGGGUCCCGGGGACCCGGACCGGCCCUCGGACUUCAGCCAGACCCGCCCCUUAACGAGCGAGCCCGCGGGGUGUCCGGAGGACGCCCCCCGGCUCCGAGCCGUGUUCGAAGCCCUGGACGGGGAUGGAGACGGCUUCGUCCGCAUCGCGGACUUCGUCCAGUUCGCCACCGUCUACGGGGCAGAGCAGGUGACGGAGCUAACGAGCUGCUUGGAUCCCAGUGGGCUUGGCGUGAUUAGCUUCGAAGACUUCUCCCGAGGGGUCAUGGCGAUCAGGAAUGGAGAUCCCGACGGCCAGGGCCAGCUCUACGGUGUCCCGCCCGCUCCCGAGGAGGAGUCGCCGGCCUGCCCUGAGGAGUUCGACGACUUCGUGACCUUUGAGGCAAGUGGUUUUCCGGGAGAGCUGAGGGUCGGCGGCGCCCCUCGUCCUCCUGCGCGCACCGUCCUGCUUGUCCUGGUCCCCAGCGCUGUCUCUGUAGGGACGCGGGAAGGGCGGGCUGGGCUCCCUGAGACAGCGGUCGGGCGCUGGGCUUGGCCGUCUGCCCUGCGUGCUGCUGGGGAGAGGGGCGCGCGCGCGGGAGGUCGUGUGUGGCCCCGUCCGGAGAGGCCCUCUGGGUGCUGCUGCCCAGGGCUCCACGGCUCCCCUCGCUGUCCUGCCCCUGCUCCGAGAAGCUGCCCGGGUGGUGGUCACCCUCAGAGGACGCAGGUUCACCUCCCGCCAGCACAGGCCCCCUGGGCGCCUUCACCCCUCACUGCUUUGUCCCCAGAGACCAGCUGGACCCGGGCCCACCCCAUCCAGCAGCUGUCAGUGUUGUAUGUGACCCUGGGGCCAGUCCUGGGGCCCAGAUGGGACGAGUGUUGGCUGUGAGGCACAGCGUGGCCGGGCGAGGGCCACGGGGAGGACGCGAGGCCCCAUGCCAGACCCCCAGACUGUGGGGCAGUGUGGCCUGGGGACGCUAGGGAUUGACACAACUUGGACUUCCCAAGAGGCCACCAAGUCAGGGGAGAGUCCGCUUCUCUUGUUCGGUGCAUCGUUCCUGUGGUUGGCCAGCAGCUGACCCUGCCGUCAGGCCCGCCGACACACCAGCACUCACUUUAUGGGUGUUGUGGGUCGAAUAGUAGCCCCCAAAAGAUAUGUCCACUGCAGCUCGUGACCGUGGCCUUGUCCGCGGAGGAAUCUUUGUGGAUCAGUUUAAGGCUUUUAAGAGGCCAUCGUGCUGGGUAGACUGGGCCCUGAACCCAACGACCGGGACCCUCGAAGAGAAAGGGAGCUGACACUGCAGAGAAGGUGGCGAGAAGACGCNNNNNNNNNNNNNNNNNNNNNNNNNNNNNNNNNNNNNNNNNNNNNNNNNNNNNNNNNNNNGGAAAGCAGGAGAUUUAUUAAGGCUUCGGAGGGGGCCGGGCAGAGGUCCCGGGCGCCAGCCCUGACUGCAAGGAGCCUCCCAAAGGACCUGUGGCGGGAAACUGCGGCUGGAUGGGGUUCCCGGCGGGGCGACUAAGAAGGGGGGACGGCCAGGGGAGGGUCGGGGGUCCCCGGACGGAGGGCGGUUCAUCUGCGCAGGCAGUUUCCUGAGGGCCAUUGUUUCUCGCGGCCCAGCCUGAGCCUCCACAUUCCGGGUGGGGGUCCCCAGCAGGUCUCCAAGGCGAACAGCCGCAUCCAGGCUCGGGGUCUGUCUCCAGCCUCCUGGGAACCUAUUCAAGGACCUGGACGAGCCGGGCAGGGUCUCCGGGAGUCCCAUUCGCCAGGGUAGUGAAAGGUGUGGCAUGUGUGACCCGAACGGGUGAGACCCUUGACGCUGGCCUGGCUCCAGAAGCCUGGGCGUGGCAGGCGCAGGCACCGCCUGCCCUUUGGCCCCUCCCUUUCUCUGUGCCGGCGACCCCCACCCCCAUCCCGAGCCCACUUGAGUGCGGCCCUGCGCACUCGCGGUGGAGGCUGGCAUGGCAAAGGCCCCGCUGCCCGUGGGGACCAGUGCGUGCCAGGGCCUCUGCGGGGCCAUGGGAAAGUCGCAGAGGCCACGCCAACGGGGCGCUAAGAGUUGUCCCGGCUCUGCUUGUCCGCUCUCCCUCUUCCUCCCACCGAGCCGGGCAAGACGACAGGGAGACAGGGCUUUUGUGCAGACUCUUAUCUGAAAGGUUAGAGAUUGAAGAACAAAAGCUUCUCUGUUUUGAGAUCUGACUAUGGUUAAAAAUUCCCUGCACGUCCUGAACUUUGGACCCCUCGCUGGCCGGCUGGCCGCAGGUGUAAUGGAGCGUGCCCUGCGAGCGGGCUCAGCGGGCUCAGCGGCCCCAGAGGCCCCAGCGGUGAUGUACUCUCAGAGGAGCACCGCGGGCAAGUAGGUGGCUGCUGGAAGCCGCCAGAGUCCCCAGCGCCCUGACCCCAUGGGAAGGCCGCCUCCACGAGCAGGCCCUUCCCGGAGCUGGUGUGCGGAGCCAGGCCUGGGCCCGGCUGACGUCUGAGGGUAAGAGAAGGCUGUGCCCGGCAGUGGUUCCCCGCGGAGGUGCUGGGCGUGCUUGGGCGCGCCUGAGGUCCUCACUGAUGCCCGUGAGUGGGAGCUUCCUUGUCUGCCUGUUGGCUGACCGGUGAAGGAGGCACAGCCGCAUGUUCUCAGUGCACUUCAAUGUCCAUGUGGGUUCAGCCUCACGUGUAACUUGUGGUCAUGUUGAGUUGGUGGCAUAGGCAGCGGCCUGGGCAGAGCGAGGCUCUGUCUGGUGGGCACAAGUGAAGUGCUGGGAGGGUCAGAACCCCCCGUGCCUGUUCGAUGGGGCAUGCGCCCUCUGUGAAGGUGGGUGUUCACCCUCCUGCUGUGGGAAACUACCUGGCCUGCUGACACUUUCUCAGGGCAGCCUGGACCAACAAAGGCUGGAGCAGGUGGGCAGUGUCUGAAAUGCGCCGUCCCUGCCCUCCCAGCCCCUGGGACCUCCCUCAGCUCGGCCCUGGGUCCCCACGGAGCCCCCGGGCCGCUCUGGGUCCCCAGGGGGACCAGCUCACUUCAGGAACGGGGCCUAAGGUGGGGGCGUUGGCCCUCUGCUUGCAGGGUGGGUGAGUGGCCCAGAUGAGAGGGAGUGCAGCCGGGUUUGCAGCGUCCACCACGUCAUCCCGCGUCCUUGGAGAGUUGCUUCUGUCCUGAGCUGUUCUGGGCAAGCCCCAGGGCAGGGUCAGGCUGCAGCCGUGCCUACCUGCUCCGCUCUGUGCGUGCUGAGCUGCUUGCGGGCCCGGGUCCCGCACUGGCCAGGGAGUGUCUGUCCGAAGUGCUGGCUGGUCGGCUGUCUCGAGAGUCAAGGUCUGUCCCCCACAGGAAACCUCAGAGGGUCUCCAUCCAAGUCAGGUGUGUAGGCGGCGCCUGCGUCUGGGUCGGGGGUGGGCUGGGAGGGCUCUGUGCAGCCCUCCGGCGAUGGGGAGCCUUGUGCCUUUAGAGGUACUGGUCUCUGUUGUCGUCAUCGUCAGCAGUCUGGGGGCUCUGCCUGUUCCCACGGAGUGUGAUGGCCCCUCGGGUGACAGCAGCAGGCUGUGGAUUGCAUGCCCCCCCAUGGGUUCAGCCCCUCCACAGCAGUGCUGGCCUGGCUCGGCCGCGCCCCUGCCUGCAGGCGGAGCCCGGCGCCUGUCCCAUUCUGAUGAGGAAGCAGGAUGUCCUGGUUUCGGAUUUUGAAGUGAGUGCUCUUUGUGAAUGGCUUAGUCGCCUCAGGUCCCAGGCAGCAGUGGGCUUUCCUGGGAAACCAGCAGGGCCGUGGAACGCCCACAUGGGUCCCUGGGUCCGAUCCCCGGGACGUUCUGCCUGGCAAGCAGCUGGCUGGGGUUUCACCACCAGUGACCCGCGAACCCCGCCUUUCCGUUUCUGUUCCCCCACCUGCCGUUGUGACCUCUGAAUCCCGAGAGGCUGUGACCUUGUGCGAUCGCCAUUGCAGCCCCGUUUCAUGAGCGAGGUGACACAACUCAGCGUGCUCGAGAUCCCAGCCUGGCGCCACACGGCUGGGCUGGUCGGUGGCAGACCGAGUGGGCCCUCGGUCUCCAUCGCACGGGCCCCUGGGUCUCCGUCGGGGGCGAGGGCCUGGGUCAGCUGAGGCCCUUUGCUGCCGCACAUCUGAGCACACCGCCCCCCUGGCCCCGCUGCCAGAACCAGGGGAUGAAGGACACGACGUCUGCAGCCGCUGUUCCGAAGUCUAACUUGGGAGCAAAUCGUUAACCUCAGGUUCUCUCAAGCAUGGACUGUGGGCUCCUGUUCUAGCCGGUGCUCUUGCUCUCAUUAAAGCCAAGACUGUGUGUGUUCCAGGGUUGCUCCAGGUUUAAGUUCAUCUGGGCAGCCCGUCAGGCCCUCCUGGCUCCCGGACACCCGGCUGCGUGCGCGCCGCUGGGUCCACGAGUGGAAACAGAUGUGUCCCGUGGGAAAGCCGCCGUUUAACCAGCACACACACUCGAUUGGUCCCGUAAUUGAUGAACGAGGAUUUUGAGGUUACGCCCCGCAGUCGGACUUUGAAACAGUGGUCUGCAUGUUCGUAAUGGUAGAAAGUCAGCGGCCACUUUUGUUUACUCAUGUGGCUUUUUGGGGCCGCCCCCGCAGCAUGUGGAGGGUCCCAGGCUAGGGGUUGCAUCGGAGGUGCAGCUGCCAGCCUCCGCCGCAGCCACAGCAACGCGGGAUCUGAGCCGCGUCUGUGAGCUACACCACAGCUCAAGGCAGCGCUGGAUCCUAAACCCACUGAGCGAGGCCGGGGACCGAACCCGCUUCCUCAUGGGUACUAGCCGGGCUCAUUUCUGCUGCGCCAUAAUAGGAACUCCCGACUUUUCACUUUGGAAGGGAUGAACCGUCGAAAGUUCACCCCUUGGCUGUCGGUUCUCCCGUGAGUGCCGGGAGCUGUCAGGGGCUUGGUUGCGUGUGUUUAUAGAGCGACUUGCAGAGUCGCUCCAGUGCCUUUUUCCCUGCUCUUGGCCCUGAGCCUGUUUUCAUGUUGAAGAGCAUGGCCGAGUUCUGUAAGCUGACGACUCCGUUCGAAGCGCAAGAGGGACGCGGCCCGCACGAGAGCUCUCCUCGCACGCGGCCCUUUCCCGGAAGCCGGGCUGACUCUCGCGCUCUGCCCUAGGCCACCG
This 5100-nucleotide long non-coding RNA is filed under the name Sus scrofa (pig). Its description in RNAcentral is "lncRNA (ENSSSCG00005040060.1)". The record is from RNAcentral. Lineage: Eukaryota; Metazoa; Chordata; Mammalia; Artiodactyla; Suidae.